CCCUUAGAUGUCCUGGGCUGCACGCGCGCUGCACUGAUGCGCUCAACGAGUUUACGAUCUUGCCUUAAAUGGCUGGGUAAUCUUUUUAAAACGCAUCGUGAUAGGGAUAGAUCAUUGCAAUUAUUGAUCUUGAACGAGGAAUUCCUAGUAAACGCGAGUCAUCAGCUCGCAUUGAUUACGUCCCUGCCCUUUGUACACACCGCCCGCCGCACCUACCGAUUGAAUGUUUCGGUGAAGAUUCCGGAUAGGACUUUUUUGAUUUAUUUCAAUUCUGUCUUAAAAGCUAUCUAAACCUCAACAUUUAGAGGAAGGUGAAGUCGUAACA
This 325-nucleotide ribosomal RNA is filed under the name uncultured eukaryote. RNAcentral's name for it is "partial 18S ribosomal RNA". It matches the Rfam family "Eukaryotic small subunit ribosomal RNA", at positions 1470 to 1796 of the family's 1831-position model. The record is from RNAcentral.